GUCUACGGCCAUACCACUCUGAACGCGCCUGAUCUCGUCUGAUCUCAGAAGCUAAGCAGGGUCAGGCCUGGUUAGUACUUGGAUGGGAGAAGUAUGCUUAUCUAGUCC
This 108-nucleotide ribosomal RNA is filed under the name Dipodomys ordii (Ord's kangaroo rat). Lineage: Eukaryota; Metazoa; Chordata; Mammalia; Rodentia; Heteromyidae. The record is from RNAcentral.